This 392-nucleotide unclassified non-coding RNA is filed under the name soil metagenome. RNAcentral's name for it is "partial contains 5.8S ribosomal RNA, internal transcribed spacer 2, and large subunit ribosomal RNA". The stretch from base 1 to 122 matches the Rfam family "5.8S ribosomal RNA", at positions 35 to 154 of the family's 154-position model. The record is from RNAcentral.
GAUGAAGAACGUAGCGAAAUGCGAUACUUGGUGUGAAUUGCAGAAUCCCGUGAACCAUCGAGUCUUUGAACGCAAGUUGCGCCCGAAGCCACUAGGCCGAGGGCACGCCGGUCUGGGCGUCACACGUCGUUGCCCCCCACCAUCUACUCCUUCGGGAUUGCGGGGGGCGGAUGAUGGCCUCCCGUGCGCCUAGCCGCGCGGUUGGCAUAAAUACCAAGUCCUCGGCGACGCACGCCACGACAAUCGGUGGUUGCGAAACCUCGGUUGCCCGUCGUGUGCGUUCGUCGCGCAUCGAGGGCUCGAAAAAAUGCUCGGCUCCGGCUCGGCUUUCAACGCGACCCCAGGUCAGGCGGGGUUACCCGCUGAAUUUAAGCAUAUCAAUAAGCGGAGGA